CAUUUUAAACCGUAUUUAAUACCAAAACUGAUAAAAAAAUGAGUUAGAUAACUUAUAUAUACAAACUAAAGCACAAUACAACAGAAAUAUGUGCCGUGAAUAACUUUUAAAGUUUGAAAAAUAACAAUUUAUAUUAUCCUGGAAUUUAGCUGUCAGUAUAAAAUUAAACGUGCGCGCUAGACUAUAACGGUGAUGUUAUGAUUUUGUUUGUGCUUAAAUUUUGCAAUAAUUCUCACUAAAAUAUCUUGAAAUCAUUCUAAGCCUGUUUAUAUAAAGCAUACAAAACAUAUACAUCGACAAGGAACCGCAAAACUAAAAGUUUAAACUUCGUGACCCAAUAACAUAAAAACCUUGGUCGCGUAAUUUUGAAAACGUGUAAUCAAUUUCAAACAAUCUCAAAACAACUUGAAGAUAAAUUUCAACACAUUACAACAUAUGACACAAAUAUUUUCAAUUUAUGUUGCUUAGCUAGUGGGGCAGCACAUUGUCAUGCAUACUCAUAUGAUCUUCAAGUUCAGUGGCAACUUCAAACUGGGCAUCGCAGGCACAACAGAUAUAACCAAUACCAGUUGCUUCUCUUGCUUCUAAUUCCUUACAGACAUCACAUUGGUAGGACAUACCAUGAUCUUUGGCCUUGUGCUGAUAUAAACUUUCAACAUCAGGGAACUGUUUGUUGCAUUUGUCACAGUAAAAAUGAUCAUCACUCUUCUGUAUCUCAUUAGCAUGUGCUUGACCUUGAAUAAUUUCUCUGCCACAGGUGUGGCACAAUAAUAAGCCAUCUCUCAAGUGUGACCUCCAAUGACGUUUGAGAAUUUGUCGUUGUGUGAAUGUUUUCUUGCAGAUACCGCACUGAAAACUCUGAUUUCUCUUGUGUGCUGAUGUUUUAUGUCGUGUUAAUUUGUGCGAUUCUGAAAAUCUCUUGUUGCAAAUGUCACAUUGGUAAGGUUUGUCUCCAGUGUGUGUUUGUUUAUGCAUAGUUAAGUGGCUCAAGCAUGAAAAUCUCUUCUUACAAAUAUCACAUUCAUGAGGUUUGUCUCCAGUAUGUGUUCUUUUAUGUCUGACUAAGUGGCCUGACUGCGAAAAUCUUUUGUUGCAAACAUCACAUUCAUAAGGUUUGCCUCCAGUGUGCAUUCUCUUAUGUUUAGUUAGGGUGCAUGGGUCAGAAAAUCUUUUGUUGCAAACAUCUCAUUCAUAAGGUUUGCCUCCAGUGUGCAUUCUCUUAUGUUUAGUUAGGGUGCUUGGGUCAGAAAAUCUUUUGUUGCAAACAUCGCAUUCAUAAGGUUUGUCUCCAGUGUGUGUUCUCUUAUGUUUAGUUAGGGAGCUUGGGUCAGAAAAUCUUUUGUUGCAAACAUCACAUUCAUAAGGUUUCUCUCCAGUGUGUGUUCUCUUAUGUUUAGUUAGGGAGCUUGGGUCAGAAAAUCUUUUGUUGCAAACAUCACAUUCAUAAGGUUUGUCUCCAGUGUGUGUUCUCUUAUGUUUAGUUAGGGAGCUUGGGUCAGAAAAUCUUUUGUUGCAAACAUCGCAUUCAUAAGGUUUGUCUCCAGUGUGUGUUCCCUUAUGUUUAGUCAGGUUGCCUGAGUGGAGAAAUCUUUUGUUGCAAACAUCACAUUCAUAAGGUUUGUCUCCAGUGUGUGUUCUCUUAUGUUUAGUUAGGUUGGCUGGGUUGGAAAAUCUUUUGUUGCAAACAUCACAUUCGUAAGGUUUCUCUCCAGUGUGUGUUCGUUUGGGCAUGUACUAAAAGGCGAAACGUCGAAACGAAACGACCGAAACGAAACGGCCGAAACCAUCGAAACCACCGAAACGACCGAAACGAAACGACCGAAACGAAACAACCGAAACGAAACGACCGAAACGAAACAACCGAAACGAAACGACCGAAACGAAACGGCCGAAAAUGUAAAUUACAGGAAAAUUGAAAAAUGCGGAUACGGACGGACGGGGGGG
Molecule: long non-coding RNA, 1944 nt
Filed under: Paramuricea clavata
Lineage: Eukaryota; Metazoa; Cnidaria; Anthozoa; Malacalcyonacea; Plexauridae
Source: RNAcentral